CCAGGAAUGGGGGGAGAUGAAGGGCUUGUGGACGCUGCUCUGUUGGCCUGACUAGCUGGCUCUACAAGAAGCUACUGAAACUUUUUCUUAUUUUUCCUGAUCUGUAUUCGUAGAAGUACGUAUAGAGAUACAGAAAAAGGAGGAAGUACUUAAAACCAAAUAUCCAAUGGGGUAAUCCCUCUCCCAUGUACUUAACAGAAGAGGUCAUUUUAGCAUUGCAUAAUCCACAUUUCUAAAUAAAUGAAAGCAGACUAAUCUCAGAAACUUUUUCGUCUGCCCAAUCCUUUUGAAAAUCCUUUUGUUUUCAAUAUCACCUCAGUGCUGUGUACGUCAGUAGUAUGCCAGCUGACUUGUGCUAUGGAAGAUGUUUAUCCCUCUGUGUACACUGAAUCCAUUCCCUGCCAUUCACAUUUUAGCCGUUUUAGAGAACUCCAGUUAAUUUGAAAAAUGCUUGACUUUUUUAAUGAUUGUAAAACCUAAUUUUGUUUUA
Molecule: long non-coding RNA, 490 nt
Filed under: Bos taurus (domestic cattle)
Lineage: Eukaryota; Metazoa; Chordata; Mammalia; Artiodactyla; Bovidae
Description: long non-coding RNA NONBTAT019269
Source: RNAcentral